UCGGACGUGGUGUAGGGAACACCCUCGCUCUUGCUACGUGGGACUUGACCAGUGUAACAAGUGCCGGGGUUCGACUCCCCGCGUCCGAG
Non-coding RNA from Mycena rosella, 89 nucleotides. NCBI's taxonomy places the organism in Eukaryota, Fungi, Basidiomycota, Agaricomycetes, Agaricales, Mycenaceae. The record is from the annotation of a GenBank genome assembly.